Long non-coding RNA from Oncorhynchus masou masou (cherry salmon), 4088 nucleotides. RefSeq lists it as uncharacterized. Lineage: Eukaryota; Metazoa; Chordata; Actinopteri; Salmoniformes; Salmonidae. The record is from RefSeq and is a predicted model, not a curated record. The transcript has 4 exons.
CCCUUGGUUUCUUUCUCAACACAAAGGAAACUCUCACUGACUUGACAUGUUCUGGUUUUGAAUUCAGGCUACAAGGGGUCAUUGCUCGAAAAUUAGUCUCUCUGGGGAGAGAGAGGAGGGCGGCCAUGCCUCUAAAAUUAGUCUCUCUGGGGAGAGAGAGGAGGGCGGCCAUGCCUCUAAAAUUAGUCUCUCUGGGGAGAGGGAGGAGGGCGGCCAUGCCUCUAAAAUGAGUCUCUCUGCGGAACAUGACACCAACGUUAAGAGGAUCCAUUUUGAGACGACAGAGCAGAAAACACUAUAUGGAGAGAACUGAAAAAUAAACAAACCAGGGUCACACUCCAACACGCAGACACCAUUUAAAAACAAGGCAAUUGUGUUUAGUGCCAGAGCGCUAAGAACCUUGGCGUGAUCCUGGACAACACCCUGUCGUUCUCAACUAACAUCAAGGCGGUGGCCCGUUCCUGUAGGUUCAUGCUCUACAACAUCCGCAGAGUACGCCCCUGCCUCACACAGGAAGCGGCGCAGGUCCUAAUCCAGGCACUUGUCAUCUCCCGUCUGGAUUACUGCAACUCGCUGUUGGCUGGGCUCCCUGCCUGUGCCAUUAAACCCCUACAACUCAUCAAGAACGCCGCAGCCCGUCUGGUGUUCAACCUUCCCAAGUUCUCUCACGUCACCCCGCUCCUCCGCUCUCUCCACUGGCUUCCAGUUGAAGCUCGCAUCCGCUACAAGACCAUGGUGCUUGCCUACGGAGCUGUGAGGGGAACGGCACCGCAGUACCUCCAGGCUCUGAUCAGGCCCUACACCCAAACAAGGGCACUGCGUUCAUCCACCUCUGGCCUGCUCGCCUCCCUACCACUGAGGAAGUACAGUUCCCGCUCAGCCCAGUCAAAACUGUUUGCUGCUCUGGCCCCCCAAUGGUGGAACAAACUCCCUCACGACGCCAGGACAGCGGAGUCAAUCACCACCUUCCGGAGACACCUGAAACCCCACCUCUUCAAGGAAUACCUAGGAUAGGAUAAAGCAAUCCUUCUCACCCCCCCCCCCCCUUAAAUGAUUUAAUAGAUGCACUAUUGUAAAGUGGCUGUUCCACUGAUGUCAGAAGGUGAAUUCACCAAUUUGUAAGUCGCUCUGGAUAAGAGCGUCUGCUAAAUGACUUAAAUGUAAAUGUAAAUGUAGUGAGUCCUCCAGAUCAGAGGCAGUAGGGAUGACCAGGGAUGUUCUCUGUUUAGUGAGUCCACCAGAUCAGAGGCAGUAGGGAUGACCAGGGAUGUUCUCUGUUUAGUGAGUCCUCCAGAUCAGAGGCAGUAGGGAUGACCAGGGAUGUUCUCUGUUUAGUGAGUCCUCCAGAUCAGAGGCAAUAGAGACGACCAGGGAUGUUCUCUGUUUAGUGAGUCCUCCAGAUCAGAGGCAGUAGAGACGACCAGGGAUGUUCUCUGUUUAGUGAGUCCUCCAGAUCAGAGGCAGUAGGGAUGACCAGGGUUGUUCUCUGUUUAGUGAGUCCUCCAGAUCAGAGGCAGUAGGGAUGACCAGGGAUGUUCUCUGUUUAGUGAGUCCUCCAGAUCAGAGGCAGUAGGGAUGACCAGGGUUAUUCUCUUGAUAAGUGUGUGAAUUCGACCAUUUUCUGUCCUGCUAAGCAUUCAAAAUGUAAGGAGUACUUUGGGUGUCAGGGAAAAUGUAAAAAAAAAAGACAUAAUUUUCUUUAUGAAUGUAGUGAAGUAAAAGUAAAAGUUGUUAAAAAUAUCAAUAUUAAAGUGAAGGACAGAUUCCCCCAAAAAACUACUUAAGUAGUACUUUAAAGUAUUUUACACCACUGCAUUAGAAGACAGAUACAUGUGUUGAUUUGAAGGAAAGACUCAGAUUCUGGUAGGUCGGAUACGAACUAUUAUAAAGUUCGGUCGUCGUCAGACAUUCAACAGUCACAGUAGGUUUGAGCUACAGUCUGAUCACUAAUCAUGCCGACCAACCUGAUGGUCUCUGUUGGAAAUGUUGUGAAAAGAAUCUGGCCUCGGCUACAAAUAUCUGGCAUUACUCAUCUCAUAUGUAUAUACUGUAUUCUAUACUAUUCUCCUGUAUCUUAGUCUAUGUAUUACUCAUCUCAUAUGUAUAUACUGUAUUCUAUACUAUUCUACUGUAUCUUAGUCUAUGCAUUACUCUUCUCAUACUGUUCUGCUGUGUCUUAGUCUAUGCUGCUCAGACAUUGUGACCAAUAACAUUUGACUUGAUUUAGAUUACACUAUAUUAUUUGAUUUUAUUUAGAUUAGGCUAUAUAUACACACAACAUGACCAAAAGUAUGUGGACACCUGCUCGUCGAACAUCUCAUUCCAAAAUCAUAGGCAUUCCUAUGGAGUUGGUCCCCCUUUUGCUGCUAUAACAUUUCAUGAAGCUUCCGACGAACAGUUAUUUUGCUGACGUUGCAUUUUGGAACUUGGUAUUGAGUGUUGCAGCCGAGGACAGACCGUUUUUAUGCACUUCCGCACUCGGCGGGCCUGUUCUGUGAACUUGUGUGGCCUACCACUUCACGGUUGAGCCGUUGUUGCUCCUAAAUGUUUCCACUUCACUUCACUUCACAUCCUAUUUCUUCACAGUUGAGCCGUUGUAGAUGUAGAUUGCAUGGCGGUCUGCUCGAUUUUAUACACCUGUCAGCAACGGGUGUGGCUGAAAUAGCCGAAUCCACUAAUUUGAAGGGGUGUCCACAUACUUCUGUAUAUAUAUAGUGGACAUUCUCUGUCCUGCUACUGGUAGGACUAUAACAUUAUGUGAACUGAUCUGAACAGGUUUAGGCUGGUCAUCUAUGAUAUGUAGGUUAUAUACAGUACAUUCUCUGUACUGCUACUGGUAGGACUAUAACAUUAUGUGAACUGAUCUGAACAGGUUUAGACUGGUCAUCUAUGAUAUGUAGGCUAUAUCCGAGGUAUAGACCUUGAUCUGCAUAUCACUACCAAACUACUAUUAUACAUUAUACCCUAGUCUACUUUACAUAAUAUAACAUCUACAUAUCACUAACAAACUGCUAUUAUACAUUAUAACCUAGUCAACUUUACAUAAUAUAACAUCUACAUAUCACUAACAACCCACUACUAUACAUUAUAACCUAGUCUACUAUACAUAAUAUAACAUAUCACUAACAGCCCACUACUAUACAUUAUAACCUAGUCUACUUUACAUAAUAUAACAUCUACAUACCACUAACAACCCACUACUAUACAUUAUAACCUAGUCUACUUUACAUAAUAUAACAUCUACAUACCACUAACAACCCACUACUAUACAUUAUAACCUAGUCUACUUUACAUAAUAUAACAUCUACAUACCACUAACAACCCACUACUAUACAUUAUAACCUAGUCUACUUUACAUAAUAUAACAUCUACAUAUCACUAACAGCCCACUGCUAUACAUUAUAACCUAGUCUACUUUACAUAAUAUAACAUCUACAUAUCACUAACAACCCACUACUAUACAUUAUAACCUAGUCUACUUUACAUAAUAUAACAUAUCACUAACAACUCACUACUAUACAUUAUAACCUAGUCUACUUUACAUAAUAUAACAUCUACAUAUCACUAACAACCCACUACUAUACAUUAUAACCUAGUCUACUUUACAUAAUAUCACUAACAACCCACUACUAUACAUUAUAACCUAGUCUACUUUACAUAAUAUAACAUCUACAUAUCACUAACAACCCACUAUUAUACAUUAUAACCUAGUCUACUUUACAUAAUAUAACAUCUACAUAUCACUAACAACCCACUACUAUACAUUAUAACCUAGUCUACUUUACAUAAUAUAACAUCUACAUAUCACUAACAUCCCACUACUAUACAUUAUAACCUAGUCUACUUUACAUAAUAUAACAUAUCACUAACAACCCACUACUAUACAUUAUAACCUAGUCUACUUUACAUAAUAUAACAUCUACAUAUCACUAACAACCCACUACUAUACAUUAUAACCUAGUCUACUUUACAUAAUAUAACAUACCACUAACAACCCACUACUAUACAUUAUAACCUAGUCUACUUUACAUAAUAUAACAUCUACAUAUCACUAACAACCCACUACUAUACAUUAUAACCUAGUCUAC